Non-coding RNA from Paramuricea clavata, 1398 nucleotides. The record is from the annotation of a GenBank genome assembly. NCBI's taxonomy places the organism in Eukaryota, Metazoa, Cnidaria, Anthozoa, Malacalcyonacea, Plexauridae.
GUUUUUUUGAAACUAUAGUAUUCCACCAUAAACUACAGUUUUUCACCAAACACUAUAGCUUUUCUCAAAAAAACUAUAGUUUAAUUUUGGCUGACAUGAUUUGCCACAAGGUUUAUGAAUUUUUAAUGAGUAUUUUAAAUAUAUUUCAUAUAUUCUUACAACUGAAGAGUUACUUUAGUCUUGAAGAACGAGGAAUGUACAUAUAUAUUUGAGAUCACGCACUAUAAUUACAGUGUUAAAUAUUUUGCGUGAUUUAAUAUAAUUCCAGCGAGUCCCUACUGUCUGUACUGAGCAUCAGUAUACUAUUGAACAUGUAGAUAUAUCAUAUAUUCAAACAACUAAAUAGUUAGUUUAGUCUUGAAGAACGAGGAAUGAACAUAAAUAUUUAAUAUGAAUGAACAUAUAUAUAGGCUAUAUAUUUGAGAUGAAGGUUCAUAAUCAGAUACAAUGACAAUUACGGUGUAACAUUUGCCUAGUGAUUUAAUAAUUCCAGCGAGUCCUUACUCAGUAUCAGUUGUGCCGGCCUAUACAGUAUUUAUAUGUGUACUAAAGUGUCUUUUAAAGAACGUGGCAAACUCAUGAAGUACAUAACAUUUACAUUCAUGAGUUUAUAGUGUACAUUUUGAAUCACUGCGCAUUUAUAUGUGUGCAUGUGAGCGUGUCUUUUAAAGCUGGAGGCAAACUCAUGAAAUACUCAUAACAUUUAUAUUUACAAGUAUCUAUAGUGUGCAUUUUAAAUAACUGCGCAUUUGUGUGUGUGCGAGGCUGUCUUUUAAGGAACGAGGCAAACUCAUGAAAUACAUAACAUCUAUAUUUAUGAGUGUAUUAUUAUAAGUGUAUAUAGUGUGCAUUUUAAAUUAACUGCGUGUGUAUAUCUUGAGACACAUAAUAUUCAUGAGCGUAGUGUGUAAGGUGAGUCAUUUAAAGAACGAAGAAAAUACGUGGUAUACUGCGCAUUUAUAUGUAAUGUGAGCGUGUCUUUAAAGAACGAGGCAAACUCAUGAAAUAUAUAACAUUUAUAUUUAUAUUUAUAAGUGUGUAUAGUGUGCAUUGUAAAUAACUGCACAUUUAUAUGUGUGUGAGCGUGUCUUCUAAAGAACGAAACAAACUCGUGAAAUACAUACCAUUUAUAUUUUUAUAAGUGUAUAUAUUGUGCAUUUUAAAUAACUGCGUGUUUAUGUAUUGAGACACAUAAUAUUCGUGAGCGUAGUGUGCAAGUGAGUCGUUUAAAGAACGAAGCAAAUAGUUUACGUGGUAUGUAAACUAUAAAAUUAUUACAUACAGUAAUGUUUUAGUUAUCAUUAACGCGCUAUUAUACGUUGAAUUAGAUUUUUAAAGAACGAGACAUGAACAUGUAUAUAUUUCAGAUAUUCAUACAACUGAUGAGUUACUUUUGUC